Molecule: transfer RNA, 75 nt
Filed under: Verrucomicrobiota bacterium
Lineage: Bacteria; Pseudomonadati; Verrucomicrobiota
Also listed under: 2 other names
Description: Verrucomicrobia bacterium tRNA-Thr
Rfam family: tRNA
About the family: Transfer RNA (tRNA) molecules are approximately 80 nucleotides in length.
Source: RNAcentral
GCCAGCGUAGCUCAGUGGUAGAGCAAUGCUUUCGUAAAGCAAAGGUCGUCGGUUCAAUCCCGACCGCUGGCUCCA